This 482-nucleotide ribosomal RNA is filed under the name uncultured bacterium. RNAcentral describes it as "partial 16S ribosomal RNA". It matches the Rfam family "Bacterial small subunit ribosomal RNA", at positions 30 to 507 of the family's 1533-position model. The record is from RNAcentral.
AUUGAACGCUGGCGGCAUGCCUUACACAUGCAAGUCGAACGGUAACAGGUCUUCGGAUGCUGACGAGUGGCGAACGGGUGCGUAAUACAUCGGAACGUGCCCGAUCGUGGGGGAUAACGAAGCGAAAGCUUUGCUAAUACCGCAUACGAUCUACGGAUGAAAGCAGGGGACCGCAAGGUCUUGCGCGAACGGAGCGGCCGAUGGCAGAUUAGGUAGUUGGUGGGAUAAAAGCUUACCAAGCCGACGAUCUGUAGCUGGUCUGAGAGGACGACCAGCCACACUGGGACUGAGACACGGCCCAGACUCCUACGGGAGGCAGCAGUGGGGAAUUUUGGACAAUGGGCGAAAGCCUGAUCCAGCCAUGCCGCGUGCAGGAUGAAGGCCUUCGGGUUGUAAACUGCUUUUGUACGGAACGAAAAGACUCUGGUUAAUACCUGGGGUCCAUGACGGUACCGUAAGAAUAAGCACCGGCUAACUACGUG